UGCGCCGUGCUUCGUCGCACCUUCCUCUGCCCUCGUCGUCGUUCGCCGGCCACCUGCGCAACUCGCCGGAGAUCCGCGGCUCCAGCACCCGCGCACUCUUUCUCCUCUUUGCACUCACGUCCUCCCCUGCUCCCCUCCUCUUCUUCGCGCCUGCUGUGCCGCGCACACCACCGACAACCUCCGCCACCGUCGCAUGGUCCAGCUUCUCGGAGCCGCUGCCGUUACCCGUUCGCCGGAGCUCUGCUCCGCUCCCCUGUUGUGUGGUUCAUCCCUGCUCAAUGAGCAGAGAUUAAAGAAGAUAAAGGAUAUUACAAGCCUCCCCCGGCUAUCAUGGUUGGUAAGCAGGAAUUCAGGUAUGGAAGAACA
This is a long non-coding RNA of Beta vulgaris subsp. vulgaris (sugar beet), 366 nucleotides long. RefSeq lists it as uncharacterized. NCBI's taxonomy places the organism in Eukaryota, Viridiplantae, Streptophyta, Magnoliopsida, Caryophyllales, Amaranthaceae. The transcript is spliced from 3 exons. The record is from RefSeq and is a predicted model, not a curated record.